UAUGUAUGUAUAUAUGCCUGCAUGUAUAUAUAUAUGUAUACAUGUAUGUGUAUGUAUAUGUUUUUGCAGAAAAAAACGUGGCUAAAAACCAACGAUGCGAGUGCAACACAUCAAGAAUACGCAAUGCUUUCUUUAGGGCUGAUAGGGCAUGGCCCCUAAAUGAUUCAUAGCCAGAGAUGGUGAUGGGUUAAUCAUCAACUAUCAAAUCAUCAUAGCGACACAAACGGCCAAAGUCCUUCCAUGGAACGGUCCUCAUGCUGCCAUGCACUUGACACACCCUUGUUUUGUCGUAUUUUCAUGACAUAUUGUUGUUAUUGCAAUUGACGUCUUCAAGCAUGGAAAGUUGGCGGAACUUACUUGCUGGCUGAAAAAUGGAGGCAAUCCGGGGCUAAACCACUGACCACAUAUAACUUUAGAGGUCGAUUAAGUUGGAUCAGCUCAACGGUGAAGUAUUGAUAAUUAUUGCACGAUCAUAAAAUAAAUAUUAAAUAUGCAUUUAUUAUGAUUCUAACGAUUAUCAUCGGUAUUUUAUCAUGACGUUAAUCCAACUUAUUAACCGUUGAAGUUUUAGGGAGUUGACCCUGGCCACUAAACCACUUCCAAUUUAAAGAAAAUUAGUAAAAUAAUGAAUGGUGGAGAUAUUUUCACUCCAUUGAUUUUUUUAAAA
Molecule: long non-coding RNA, 667 nt
Filed under: Citrus x clementina
Lineage: Eukaryota; Viridiplantae; Streptophyta; Magnoliopsida; Sapindales; Rutaceae
Description: Citrus clementina (C. clementina) long non-coding RNA (CCLE_LNC002083)
Source: RNAcentral